CUUAGAAAUGCCAAAAGCACAGCAGGCGUUCCUGCUGGGUGGUACGGAGGUUUUAUUCUCACAGCAGACAGGAAACUUCCAGCAUGCAGAAACCACCCUAUAAGCACAACAGCGGGCAGCCUCCGGAGCAUGUCUCUGCACGACUACCACACACCUAAUCAGUCCUGAUUAGAUGCACUGUGAGGGACGAGGGAGGCAGCCUCUCAGAAAUGAUGACACGACAGAAGAAAGCAAUGGGCUCCCUUAAAUAAAGCCUUCAUCAGGCACUGAGUAGAAA
This is a long non-coding RNA of Dicentrarchus labrax (European seabass), 277 nucleotides long. RefSeq lists it as uncharacterized. The record is from RefSeq and is a predicted model, not a curated record. NCBI's taxonomy places the organism in Eukaryota, Metazoa, Chordata, Actinopteri, Moronidae. The transcript is spliced from 2 exons.